CCUCUUUCAACUGCCAGUGCCGUGGGAACCCUUCCAUUCUUAAUUUGGCGGGCUUGUGGCCGUCCGGUUGUAGUCUGGAGAAGUGUUAUCCGUCUCGGACCGUGUAUAAGUCUCCUGGAUUGCAACGCCGUCCAGGGCGAAAAUCCAGUCCAUGCCCCGCCCGCCCGCUGCUUUGAGAAGCCCUCUCCAUUAGUCUAGUCGGUUGGGAAUGCAUGUCGGCAUGGGUGGGAAAUUCCAUCUUAAGCUAAGUAUUGCGGAGAGACUAUCCGAAAAUGGUACCGUGAGGGAAAGAUGAAAAGCACUUUGGAAAGAGAGAUAAAUACCACUUGAAAUUGUUGAAAGGGAAACACUUGAAGUCAGUCGCGUCCCGUAGAACUCCUCCUGGCUUCGGUCUGGUGUAUUUUCUAUGUGGACGGGUCUGCUAUCCUUCGGGAAACUGGAAAAAGGAACAGGGAAUGUAACGGCUCUUCUAGUGGCGUGUUAUAUCCCGUUGUCAAAUACAAUGGAUGGGACUGAGGACCGCAGCACGCCCUUGUGGCCGAGUGGUUCUCUCGCACGUACCGUGCUCAGGAUGUUGGCAUAAUGGCUUUAAGCGACCCGUACUUGAAACACCGACCAAGGAGUCCGACAUGCUUGCGAGUGUUC
RNAcentral lists this ribosomal RNA (645 nucleotides) under Inonotus rickii. RNAcentral describes it as "partial large subunit ribosomal RNA". It matches the Rfam family "Eukaryotic large subunit ribosomal RNA", at positions 77 to 695 of the family's 3401-position model. The record is from RNAcentral. Lineage: Eukaryota; Fungi; Basidiomycota; Agaricomycetes; Hymenochaetales; Hymenochaetaceae.